RNAcentral lists this long non-coding RNA (563 nucleotides) under Pongo abelii (Sumatran orangutan). Its description in RNAcentral is "lincRNA". The record is from RNAcentral. Lineage: Eukaryota; Metazoa; Chordata; Mammalia; Primates; Hominidae.
UUAGCAGAUCAGACACUCAGGUCUGGGACAACAUGUCCUGAAGGGCAUCUCUAGGUUCCCCCUCCAGGGCCUUGGGUGCUGCCCUGCCUCCUCUGCUGAUGGCUGCCUACCCCCCACCACCAGAGCAGCAGAGUUCCCUUCAGCAGCUUUCAGGGGCUGGAAGGAAAGUGGGCUGCCUCUCCCCACAGAUUCCCAGGAAUUUGCAGUACAAGACUGCAGUUUACUAAUUCUUGGGUUAUUCGUUCAUCAUUUAAUAAUCUAUCUGCAAAGCAUGCUAAAUCCAUGGGGAAGGGAUGAGGAGAGUUGACCCUUAAAAUCAACCUGAUGCAGAGCAGAAACAUAACCACCAGGAUGGAUGAACCAGUAAGAAGUCGCUGUAACUUCUAAAGGGCUGAGUACAGCCCAGGACUGCAUCUGGGAGAGCACCACUUGAAUUGCUCACCCCUGAAACAACGCAGGAGGACAUUCAUUGGUCAGGCUCAUACAAGUUUCCAAUCUGCUUGACUGGUAUGUCUCUUCCUACAAACCAGCUCAUCGGCAUUAUAGUCUUGAUCAGUUCUUGG